This is a long non-coding RNA of Dreissena polymorpha, 1018 nucleotides long. RefSeq lists it as uncharacterized. NCBI's taxonomy places the organism in Eukaryota, Metazoa, Mollusca, Bivalvia, Myida, Dreissenidae. The record is from RefSeq and is a predicted model, not a curated record. The transcript has 2 exons.
AUUCACCUAGAGGACUUACAGGGCCACACAUUCAUGAGCACAUGUGAGCAGUAUACAAUGUACCUCAUACCAAAAAGAACCCGGAGGCAGUGACUGGUGUUCAAUAUUCUCAGAAGAAAAGGAAAAUGGCAGUGGAAGACUUGGACAAACAUUUUUUAAAACUAGCCUCUGUGUUAAGCCUGGCAGUCUGUGGCUGGUGACAUGUUUUAUUUGGGUUACUUCUUGUAUAAAAAAGACCAGUUAUUUAUUUUGUGAAUUAUAUUUUGUGUUUGUUUUUUGUCUUAAUUUAUUAUAUUUUUUUUAAUUUAGGAAUUUGAAACUUGGAUAAUUGAAUAAAGUCCGUGUUCAACAGUACUGAGCAUAGUAUAAUAAAUAACAAAUUUACAACAGUUGUUAAUUUGUUAUGUAUUAUUAUUAACUAUGCUCAGUACUUGAAUACUGGCUGUCUGCAUGGGAAUUUGUUUUCUAGAAAGUUGGUUUCAGACUUAAAUAUUUGAAGUUAACCUUCGGAACUUUUCUAGAAUUGUACUGGAACACAUCAACUAAAACUGAACUUCUGUUAUCAUACUAAAAGUGUUCUAGAAUUAAUAAGGAACAGUUGUUGAACGUUAAAAUUUAUGAGAAAAAACUCAAGAACAAUUCUGCGUGAUGUGUGUGUGUGCAUGUAAUUGUGUGUGUUUAUGAACAUAUGUGAGAAAGGAUGUAUACUUGUCACAAGAUAAAUGUAAAAUUCUACUUCUAUGUUUUAUAUUGUGCCUUUUAUAAGUUUUUCUUUUCUCACCUGUAUAUGCGUGCAUGUUUAUGGAUGUGUUUUUGAAUGUGUGUGUGCAUGCCUGUGGUUAAGAGAGUAGGUACUUUAUGAAAAUGUAAAACCACUCAUUUUUGAAUAUGUACUGUGACUGCACGUGUGUGGUUAAUGAUUGAUGCUAUAUCUUGUUCUUGUUUAACUUCUAUGAUGAAACCUUUAGUUACAUUCACAUUUGUUUUUCAAAAUCAACGAAAUGCCUUUAAUCUAUAA